CUAUCUAUCGGAUCGUUUUAGAAACAUUCAGGGGCCAACAGUUUCAGGAUUGUUGAGCUCCAUUGGCGGGAUUUCGCCGUCUUCGUUUCUCUUUCUUCGCGGACGAACACGCGCCAGGGGCUGAGCGCUGUGCGGUGCACCGACUAAACGUCGCGUGCGCGCCGGCAUGUCUCUCGUGUUAGGGGCUUGUAGCUCAGUUGGUUAGAGCGCGCGCUUGAUAAGCGUGAGGUCGGAAGUUCAAGUCUUCCCAGGCCCACCAUUUUGAUCGAGUGCGGAGCAUUCGUCUUCUGGUACGGGGCCAUAGCUCAGCUGGGAGAGCGCGUGCUUUGCAAGCAUGAGGUCGUCGGUUCGAUCCCGUCUGGCUCCACCAGAUGGUUUGAUCACCAACGGCGUUACCGUCGUCCGCGAAACAUCACUUCGCACUCAUUGGUCCGGAUGGACGGUGACGUGCGUGUUUUCUGACAUCGUAAAGAGGAGAUCGAUCCGAGUUUGGAUCAAGCGAAGCAAUUCGCCUGAACCAUUCAUUAUCUCCGGGAUCAUUUCGGCGCUCGCUUUCAAUCGUGAGAUUGGAUGCGGGUUGUAAAUGAUCCCUUUUAGCGAAGCUUGACCGCCUCGCUAUCGGGCCGAUCUUACGAAGCAAGCUGGUCUUUCUAGUCAAUGUCCGGCUGCGCGAUCGCAUUCAUCGAGGAUGCGCGCCUUCAGUGGCAAUUGUGCAGACAACAUUCUGCCGAGUGUGUGGACAUUGAUAAUGAGAGCAAUCAAGUGCCUUAAGGGUGUUCGGUGGAUGCCUUGGCGCUGAGAGGCGAUGAAGGACGUGCUACGCUGCGAUAAGC
This 833-nucleotide unclassified non-coding RNA is filed under the name Bradyrhizobium sp. CCBAU 51523. Its description in RNAcentral is "partial contains 16S-23S ribosomal RNA intergenic spacer, and 23S ribosomal RNA". The stretch from base 183 to 256 matches the Rfam family "tRNA". The record is from RNAcentral. Lineage: Bacteria; Pseudomonadati; Pseudomonadota; Alphaproteobacteria; Hyphomicrobiales; Nitrobacteraceae.